UACGAAGGGGGCUAGCGUUGUUCGGAAUUACUGGGCGUGAAGGGCGCGUAGGCGGCCUUCUAAGUCGGACGUGAAAGCCCCAGGCUUAACCUGGGAACUGCGUCCGAUACUGGGAGGCUUGGAUUCGGGAGAGGGAUGUGGAAUUCCAGGUGUAGCGGUGAAAUGCGUAGAUAUCUGGAGGAACACCGGUGGCGAAGGCGGCAUCCUGGACCGAGAUCGACGCUGAGGCGCGAAAGCUAGGGGAGCAAACGGG
This 253-nucleotide ribosomal RNA is filed under the name uncultured bacterium. RNAcentral's name for it is "partial 16S ribosomal RNA". It matches the Rfam family "Bacterial small subunit ribosomal RNA", at positions 524 to 776 of the family's 1533-position model. The record is from RNAcentral.